GUGGGGAAUUUUGGACAAUGGGCGCAAGCCUGAUCCAGCAAUGCCGCGUGUGUGAAGAAGGCCUUCGGGUUGUAAAGCACUUUUGUCCGGAAAGAAAUCUCUUGGGUUAAUACCUCGGGGGGAUGACGGUACCGGAAGAAUAAGCACCGGCUAACUACGUGCCAGCAGCCGCGGUAAUACGUAGGGUGCGAGCGUUAAUCGGAAUUACUGGGCGUAAAGCGUGCGCAGGCGGCUCUGCAAGACAGAUGUGAAAGCCCCGGGCUCAACCUGGGAACUGCAUUUGUGAUUGCAAGGCGAGAGGGCGUCAGAGGGAGGUGGAAUUCCGCGUGUAGCAGUGAAAUGCGUAGAGAUGCGGAGGAACACCGAUGGCGAAGGCAGCCUCCUGGGAUGACACUGACGCUCAUGCACGAAAGCGUGGGGAGCAAACAGGAUUAGAAACCCCUGUAGUCC
RNAcentral lists this ribosomal RNA (450 nucleotides) under uncultured bacterium. RNAcentral's name for it is "partial 16S ribosomal RNA". It matches the Rfam family "Bacterial small subunit ribosomal RNA", at positions 354 to 796 of the family's 1533-position model. The record is from RNAcentral.